RNAcentral lists this long non-coding RNA (269 nucleotides) under Lathyrus oleraceus (garden pea). Its description in RNAcentral is "Pisum sativum (pea) long non-coding RNA (PSAT_LNC032438)". Lineage: Eukaryota; Viridiplantae; Streptophyta; Magnoliopsida; Fabales; Fabaceae. The record is from RNAcentral.
AGAGCCUCAUAUUCUGUUUGAUUGUUGUUAGCGAUGAAUUCGAACUUCAAUACCUGCUCAAUAACUAAAUUGUCUGGUCUUUCGAGCACUAUCCCUGCACCGCUUCCUUUUACAUUGGAGGCGUCGUCCACGGAUAAGCCUGAAGGAGGAUCUUCUUCAAUUGGCAGAUUAAAUUUGGAUAUGAAGCCGGUCAGGACUUGCGAUUUGAUGCUCCCUCUCGGAAUGUACUGAAUUUCGUAUUAUGAGAGAUCUCCAAACCAAGAUAUCAU